This is a small nuclear RNA of Rattus norvegicus (Norway rat), 180 nucleotides long. Ensembl annotates it as U4 spliceosomal RNA. NCBI's taxonomy places the organism in Eukaryota, Metazoa, Chordata, Mammalia, Rodentia, Muridae. The record is from Ensembl.
AGCUUUGCGCAGUGGCAGUAUCGUAGCCAAUGAGGUUUAUCCGAGGCGCGAUUAUUGCUAAUUGAAAACUCUUAUGGGUAUCAACCUUUAAGCCUUCAGUAGGCAGACUAUAUUCAUAUAACCACAGAGCUUAGGCAUAAAGUAAAGGACUAUGGGGAAGGUAGGAUCUCUUAAGGAAGG